Molecule: ribosomal RNA, 1522 nt
Filed under: Escherichia coli
Lineage: Bacteria; Pseudomonadati; Pseudomonadota; Gammaproteobacteria; Enterobacterales; Enterobacteriaceae
Description: partial 23S ribosomal RNA
Rfam family: Bacterial large subunit ribosomal RNA
Source: RNAcentral
CGAAUGCUGACAUAAGUAACGAUAAAGCGGGUGAAAAGCCCGCUCGCCGGAAGACCAAGGGUUCCUGUCCAACGUUAAUCGGGGCAGGGUGAGUCGACCCCUAAGGCGAGGCCGAAAGGCGUAGUCGAUGGGAAACAGGUUAAUAUUCCUGUACUUGGUGUUACUGCGAAGGGGGGACGGAGAAGGCUAUGUUGGCCGGGCGACGGUUGUCCCGGUUUAAGCGUGUAGGCUGGUUUUCCAGGCAAAUCCGGAAAAUCAAGGCUGAGGCGUGAUGACGAGGCACUACGGUGCUGAAGCAACAAAUGCCCUGCUUCCAGGAAAAGCCUCUAAGCAUCAGGUAACAUCAAAUCGUACCCCAAACCGACACAGGUGGUCAGGUAGAGAAUACCAAGGCGCUUGAGAGAACUCGGGUGAAGGAACUAGGCAAAAUGGUGCCGUAACUUCGGGAGAAGGCACGCUGAUAUGUAGGUGAAGCGACUUGCUCGUGGAGCUGAAAUCAGUCGAAGAUACCAGCUGGCUGCAACUGUUUAUUAAAAACACAGCACUGUGCAAACACGAAAGUGGACGUAUACGGUGUGACGCCUGCCCGGUGCCGGAAGGUUAAUUGAUGGGGUCAGCGCAAGCGAAGCUCUUGAUCGAAGCCCCGGUAAACGGCGGCCGUAACUAUAACGGUCCUAAGGUAGCGAAAUUCCUUGUCGGGUAAGUUCCGACCUGCACGAAUGGCGUAAUGAUGGCCAGGCUGUCUCCACCCGAGACUCAGUGAAAUUGAACUCGCUGUGAAGAUGCAGUGUACCCGCGGCAAGACGGAAAGACCCCGUGAACCUUUACUAUAGCUUGACACUGAACAUUGAGCCUUGAUGUGUAGGAUAGGUGGGAGGCUUAGAAGUGUGGACGCCAGUCUGCAUGGAGCCGACCUUGAAAUACCACCCUUUAAUGUUUGAUGUUCUAACGUGGACCCGUGAUCCGGGUUGCGGACAGUGUCUGGUGGGUAGUUUGACUGGGGCGGUCUCCUCCUAAAGAGUAACGGAGGAGCACGAAGGUUGGCUAAUCCUGGUCGGACAUCAGGAGGUUAGUGCAAUGGCAUAAGCCAGCUUGACUGCGAGCGUGACGGCGCGAGCAGGUGCGAAAGCAGGUCAUAGUGAUCCGGUGGUUCUGAAUGGAAGGGCCAUCGCUCAACGGAUAAAAGGUACUCCGGGGAUAACAGGCUGAUACCGCCCAAGAGUUCAUAUCGACGGCGGUGUUUGGCACCUCGAUGUCGGCUCAUCACAUCCUGGGGCUGAAGUAGGUCCCAAGGGUAUGGCUGUUCGCCAUUUAAAGUGGUACGCGAGCUGGGUUUAGAACGUCGUGAGACAGUUCGGUCCCUAUCUGCCGUGGGCGCUGGAGAACUGAGGGGGGCUGCUCCUAGUACGAGAGGACCGGAGUGGACGCAUCACUGGUGUUCGGGUUGUCAUGCCAAUGGCACUGCCCGGUAGCUAAAUGCGGAAGAGAUAAGUGCUGAAAGCAUCUAAGCACGAAACUUGCC